GCGAGAGUGGCGGAACUGGCAGACGCGCGGGUCUUAGGAGCCCGUGGGUAACCGUGGGGGUUCAAGUCCCCCCUCUCGCACCA
RNAcentral lists this transfer RNA (83 nucleotides) under Nitrospira sp. Its description in RNAcentral is "tRNA-Leu". It matches the Rfam family "tRNA". Rfam says of the family: Transfer RNA (tRNA) molecules are approximately 80 nucleotides in length. Their secondary structure includes four short double-helical elements and three loops (D, anti-codon, and T loops). Further hydrogen bonds mediate the characteristic L-shaped molecular structure. tRNAs have two regions of fundamental functional importance: the anti-codon, which is responsible for specific mRNA codon recognition, and the 3' end, to which the tRNAs corresponding amino acid is attached (by aminoacyl-tRNA synthetases). tRNAs cope with the degeneracy of the genetic code in two manners: having more than one tRNA (with a specific anti-codon) for a particular amino acid; and 'wobble' base-pairing, i.e. permitting non-standard base-pairing at the 3rd anti-codon position. The record is from RNAcentral. RNAcentral also lists the same sequence under 1 other name. Lineage: Bacteria; Pseudomonadati; Nitrospirota; Nitrospiria; Nitrospirales; Nitrospiraceae.